This 460-nucleotide ribosomal RNA is filed under the name uncultured bacterium. Its description in RNAcentral is "partial 16S ribosomal RNA". It matches the Rfam family "Bacterial small subunit ribosomal RNA", at positions 338 to 795 of the family's 1533-position model. The record is from RNAcentral.
CCUACGGGAGGCUGCAGUGAGGAAUAUUGGUCAAUGGACGAGAGUCUGAACCAGCCAAGUAGCGUGAAGGAUGACUGCCCUAUGGGUUGUAAACUUCUUUUAUAUGGGAAUAAAACGUUCCACGUGUGGGAUUUUGUAUGUACCAUAUGAAUAAGGAUCGGCUAACUCCGUGCCAGCAGCCGCGGUAAUACGGAGGAUCCGAGCGUUAUCCGGAUUUAUUGGGUUUAAAGGGAGCGUAGGUGGAUUGUUAAGUCAGUUGUGAAAGUUUGCGGCUCAACCGUAAAAUUGCAGUUGAAACUGGCAGUCUUGAGUACAGUAGAGGUGGGCGGAAUUCGUGGUGUAGCGGUGAAAUGCUUAGAGAUCACGAAGAACUCCGAUUGCGAAGGCAGUUCACUGGACUGCAACUGACACUGAGGCUCGAAAGUGUGGGUAUCAAACAGGAUUAGAUACCCCUGUAGUC